CCUGAUGCAGCCAUGCCGCGUGUAUGAAGAAGGCCUUCGGGUUGUAAAGUACUUUCAGUUGUGAGGAAGGGUGUGUAGUUAAUAGCUGCGCAUCUUGACGUUAGCAACAGAAGAAGCACCGGCUAACUCCGUGCCAGCAGCCGCGGUAAUACGGAGGGUGCGAGCGUUAAUCGGAAUUACUGGGCGUAAAGCGCAUGCAGGUGGUUCAUUAAGUCAGAUGUGAAAGCCCGGGGCUCAACCUCGGAACUGCAUUUGAAACUGGUGAACUAGAGUGCUGUAGAGGGGGGUAGAAUUUCAGGUGUAGCGGUGAAAUGCGUAGAGAUCUGAAGGAAUACCAGUGGCGAAGGCGGCCCCCUGGACAGAUACUGACACUCAGAUGCGAAAGCGUGGGGAGCAAACAGGAUUAGAUACCCUGGUAGUCCACGCCGUAAACGAUGUCUACUUGGAGGUUGUGGCCUUGAGCCGUGGCUUUCGGAGCUAACGCGUUAAGUAGACCGCCUGGGGA
Molecule: ribosomal RNA, 505 nt
Filed under: bacterium KWD-1-6
Lineage: Bacteria
Description: bacterial SSU rRNA
Rfam family: Bacterial small subunit ribosomal RNA
Source: RNAcentral